RNAcentral lists this transfer RNA (77 nucleotides) under Zingiber officinale. RNAcentral's name for it is "tRNA-Leu". The stretch from base 5 to 69 matches the Rfam family "tRNA", at positions 9 to 63 of the family's 71-position model. Rfam says of the family: Transfer RNA (tRNA) molecules are approximately 80 nucleotides in length. Their secondary structure includes four short double-helical elements and three loops (D, anti-codon, and T loops). Further hydrogen bonds mediate the characteristic L-shaped molecular structure. tRNAs have two regions of fundamental functional importance: the anti-codon, which is responsible for specific mRNA codon recognition, and the 3' end, to which the tRNAs corresponding amino acid is attached (by aminoacyl-tRNA synthetases). tRNAs cope with the degeneracy of the genetic code in two manners: having more than one tRNA (with a specific anti-codon) for a particular amino acid; and 'wobble' base-pairing, i.e. permitting non-standard base-pairing at the 3rd anti-codon position. Lineage: Eukaryota; Viridiplantae; Streptophyta; Magnoliopsida; Zingiberales; Zingiberaceae. The record is from RNAcentral.
CUCAAGCCGAGUUGGUCUAAGGCGCCAGUUUCAGGUACUGGUCUGAAAGGGCAUGGGUUCGGAUCCCAUUCUUGACA